UCUAAGGCCAUGCCACCCUGAACAAACCCCAUCUCGUCUGAUCUCAGAAGCUAAGCAGGGUUGGGGCCUGGUUAGUACUUUAUGGGAGACCACCUAGGAAGACCAAGUGCUGUACGAG
Molecule: ribosomal RNA, 118 nt
Filed under: Pteropus vampyrus (large flying fox)
Lineage: Eukaryota; Metazoa; Chordata; Mammalia; Chiroptera; Pteropodidae
Source: RNAcentral